AUUGAACGCUGGCGGCAGGCCUAACACAUGCAAGUCGAGCGAGCGGCGGACGGGUGAGUAAUGUAUGGGGACUGCCCGAUCGAGGGGGAUAACUACUGGAAACGGUGGCUAAUACCGCAUACUAUCGGAUAACCCAUAUGGGAUUAGCUAGUAGGUGGGGUAAAGGAUCACCUAGGCGACGAUCGCUAGCUGGUCUGAGAGGAUGAUCAGCCACACUGGGACGGAGCCACGGCCCGGACUCAGACGGACGCAGCCGUGGGGAAUAUUACACAAUGGGCGCAAGCCUGAUGCAACGAUGCCGCGUGUAUGAAGAAGGCCUUAGGUUUUUAAAGUACUUUCAGCGGGGAGGCGUUACCCGCAGAAGAAGCACCGGCUAACUCCGUGCCAGCAGCCGCGGUAAUAC
This 403-nucleotide ribosomal RNA is filed under the name uncultured bacterium. Its description in RNAcentral is "partial 16S ribosomal RNA". It matches the Rfam family "Bacterial small subunit ribosomal RNA", at positions 30 to 526 of the family's 1533-position model. The record is from RNAcentral.